AAUAGUUUUGUUGAGGCCUUAUCCACAUGACCUUUAUGUCUCCCUUGCCUCCCUAUGAGGAGGGAGGAUGUGUCUCACUUGUCAUGUUUGCGAAAAAAAAUUUAAAAUAGUGAUUCAUAAAGGAAAAGAAAACUUACUUUGUUUAUUGCCGUCUACUUCCCAGCAAAAGGGAUAAAAACUGUGAAUCUGUGAGUUAGUUUUUUGUUUUCUUUUUAUAAUAGACUCAAAUGCCAUGACAAGAAUUUGUUAGUUUGGAGGUAUAUGUUGUCAUUCAUGUGCAUGUAGGAUGAUUCUCUAUUUGAGAAUAAAUCAUUACUUUCAAAAUGAAACAUGAUUUCAAAAGGGUGUUCAGGCAUGCUCCACCAUGAGGAACCCCUCUCAUGCAUACGUGGCCUAAAUGUUAAUAUCUUCUUUUGAAAAGUUCAUGUCAAUCAAUCAUUACAUGCCCCACAUGUUCAACUUGUGACAUGUGAGCUUCUUCAUGACACAAUCAAUUACAAUGUCCCACUUGUCUUGGGAGUUAUAUUUUCAAGAUAGUUUUGCACUAGGAUGACACCUAAUGAACCUGCCUUGGGGCUCCAAGGAUAGGUCCAUUUUCUCUUCUGUACAUGCAUUCUGCACAUCUCUCCCUAUGCCCUAGUGCUAUAACAUUUGAAUAAGAAUGCCUAUCUCUAAGUACAUCCUUGGGUCAUUUGUAGGCCCAUGGAAUAUGGAUACUUGCCUAUAGCAAUUGUUGAGGAGAUUUUCUUACUCUUACCUCUUGGUGAAGGUGAUACCAUACACAGUUGAAAUGAAUGGUUGUUUCUUUCCCGUCAUGGGAAUGAAUGUUCUUUCCAAAAUGGUUGUAGCUAGCUGCCUGAUGCUAAAAUUCUUGCUUGGGUCAGGAGCAGGGCUUUGAGGGUCCAAAAUAGACUUGGUGGUGGAGUUGGUCUUUCACCACUGAACACCUUGUGAUUGGUUUGAGAAUCUUGGUUUGGUGGCUAGAGCUGAAGGCUCAUCAAGGUGAGAUUAACAUGUAUUGUGCAUGCUUCCACCAGAAUGAGAGGGAAAGAGAAGAAAUUGUAUCUCUAUGACACAUUGCAUCUCCAAAGUCUGCCACAACAUUAUGGAAUAAUUAACAUGGGAGUUACUAUUCAGAAGCACUAUAAAAAGGCCUCCAUUUCGAACCAAACAAGAGAAGAAGAAAUUCCUGCUCUCCUAAUCUAUGUCAAUAAGGCGUUGUUAUCAUAUUUUAAUUAAGGGUUUAACCCCUUUAAUGUGUAGCUCAUUGCAUCCUGCAUAUACAUCCAUUAUUCCCAUAGAAGAAAUCUAGGUUCCCUAUACAACAUAAUCUAGGAGCAUCACAUGCUGAAAUGCAAGUAAUUCUUAUGGAUUCACUUCUAUUGUCAUUCACAUAUUUUGAUCAUACAAUUUCUUUUUGUUUUUCUCAGUUUUAAGAUCUCUCAUCAUUGUUGGAUGCAACUCUUCAUCAGAGGCAAUGUGUAUUUGUAUUCCCAUAAGCUGGAUUUUCCUAAGGUCACCAGAUUAUUCAUUUUCCAUCACCUUUGAUCAUUGAAGGGGGAAUCAAAGCUGAUCAAUAAUGUAUAUUUACUCUUUGUUUUGUGUUGCUGUAUGGCAAGAAGGCUUGAAUUAAACGUCAACCAUCUUGAUUCAAAAUUGUUUUUACUUCAGAUUUUGUCAGCCAUUCAAAUUUUGAAGAAAAAGGACAUUGUAUUGAUGGGGAGGCAGCCUACUGAAUCAUGGGAUAAACUUUUUGAUAUUGAGGUCAACUGAUAUGUGGGAACACUGGAGAAGAAUUUGGGAGAAAACUUUCUUAAUUUGAGAUAAAGUGAUCUGUUGCUUUGGGUUACACAAGGGCAUUAUAACAUUGUGAUGCCUUCAAUGGUUCAUAAAUUUUUGAGAACCUAUGGGUGGGUUUACCACUCGAAGGCAACCCCAUACUACUAGAAAUAUAGUUGGCUUACUAACUUCAGGCUUGGGAUGGGAAUGCCAUUCCAGCAUUCCUCAUCAUAAAAUUGUAAUUACCAUUACAUGAGAAAAGACCAUGAGGAGCUAUCGUUGAAUAGGUUGAAAAAUUCUUUUGUUUGUAAUCUUUGGGUGUGGUCUAAACCUGUUGUAAAUGAAGGUCCUCUCUCUUUACUCGGUU
This is a long non-coding RNA of Vitis riparia (riverbank grape), 2146 nucleotides long. RefSeq lists it as uncharacterized. The record is from RefSeq and is a predicted model, not a curated record. NCBI's taxonomy places the organism in Eukaryota, Viridiplantae, Streptophyta, Magnoliopsida, Vitales, Vitaceae. The transcript has 3 exons.